AACGAACGUUGGCGGCGUGCCUUACACAUGCAAGUCGAGUGAGAAAGGGGCUUCGGCUCCGAGUAAAGCGGCGGACGGGUGAGAACAUCGUAGGUAACCUGCCCUUCAGUAGAGGACAACGGUCCGAAACGACCGCUAAUACUGUGUACGUUCUCCGGGACCCCGGUCCUGGAGAGGAAAGCCUCGCAAGGGGCGCUGAAGGAGGGGCCUGCGUCGCAUCAGCUAGUUGGUGGGGUAACGGCCUACCAAGGCUAAGACGCGUAGCUGGUCUGAGAGGAUGAUCAGCCACACUGGGACUGAGACACGGCCCAGACUCCUACGGGAGGCAGCAGUGGGGAAUAUUGGACAAUGGGCGCAAGCCUGAUCCAGCCACGCCGCGUGAGUGAUGAAGGCCUUCGGGUCGUAAAGCUCUGUGGGGAGGGACGAACGUCCCCGUGAAGAACGGGGGGUGACGGUACCUCCUUACCAAGCACCGGCUAACUUCGUGC
This 488-nucleotide ribosomal RNA is filed under the name uncultured bacterium. Its description in RNAcentral is "bacterial SSU rRNA". It matches the Rfam family "Bacterial small subunit ribosomal RNA", at positions 28 to 508 of the family's 1533-position model. The record is from RNAcentral.